GGAGGGGUACCGAAGUGGUUAAACGGGCCUGACUGUAAAUCAGGUGGCCACGCCUUCGGUGGUUCGAAUCCACCCCCCUCCACCA
RNAcentral lists this transfer RNA (85 nucleotides) under Bacillota bacterium. Its description in RNAcentral is "tRNA-Tyr". It matches the Rfam family "tRNA". From Rfam's summary of the family: Transfer RNA (tRNA) molecules are approximately 80 nucleotides in length. Their secondary structure includes four short double-helical elements and three loops (D, anti-codon, and T loops). The record is from RNAcentral. Lineage: Bacteria; Bacillati; Bacillota.